This 450-nucleotide ribosomal RNA is filed under the name uncultured bacterium. RNAcentral's name for it is "partial 16S ribosomal RNA". It matches the Rfam family "Bacterial small subunit ribosomal RNA", at positions 354 to 796 of the family's 1533-position model. The record is from RNAcentral.
GUGGGGAAUUUUGGACAAUGGGCGAAAGCCUGAUCCAGCCAUGCCGCGUGCAGGAUGAAGGCCUUCGGGUUGUAAACUGCUUUUGUACGGAACGAAAAGACUCCUUCUAAUAAAGGGGGUCCAUGACGGUACCGUAAGAAUAAGCACCGGCUAACUACGUGCCAGCAGCCGCGGUAAUACGUAGGGUGCAAGCGUUAAUCGGAAUUACUGGGCGUAAAGCGUGCGCAGGCGGUUAUAUAAGACAGAUGUGAAAUCCCCGGGCUCAACCUGGGAACUGCAUUUGUGACUGUAUAGCUAGAGUACGGUAGAGGGGGAUGGAAUUCCGCGUGUAGCAGUGAAAUGCGUAGAUAUGCGGAGGAACACCGAUGGCGAAGGCAAUCCCCUGGACCUGUACUGACGCUCAUGCACGAAAGCGUGGGGAGCAAACAGGAUUAGAAACCCCAGUAGCCC